AUCAAUGGAAGCGCCGAAUUGCAGCGAGCAUCGGAUCCCAAGACACAAUCGUCGCACUCCGUUGCGUGAAGCGGAAUUGGUUGCGUGCUUCCGUCGAUGCGCCGCGACACGCUGCACAAUUUUGCAGACCGUAUUUCCUUUCCUGCGCCUUUAGCGGCUUAUACAAUCACGUGUUUAAGGUGUUCGCUUUGAUUGAGCUGUAUCAGGCUAUACGCAUGAUCGAACUCGGCUUUUUGUUUUCAGCGUUCAAGUUGAAUCGGCUUUGAGAAUAUUCAGCAAUGCAUCCCGCGAGAAGAGCUGCGGAUGGAUUGGUUAGGGCAAGACUCUUGGGCAGGUGGUCAUGGCCACUAAGUUUUGAUUGCUCGAUAAACAGGGCUGCGCAGCGGGAUGCAUUGGUGUCUCAUCGUCGACUGUGUACGAAUCGAGCCCGCUGCCUAAACAAGGAGUAUGCUUCCGUGAACGAAGGAUUCUUUUGGACCCCUGAAGCAGAGAUAGGUUCUUUGCUUAAAAGGCAUGUAAAGCAUCAAAUCAGGAGAUUUGCAACCUCUACAAAAGUCAACCGGAACAGCCGCUUUGACAGUCUCAAAACGAAUGAUAUGGAACACUUUAAGAGUAUAGUUGGUGCGAAAGGCGUUAUAGUGGACAAAGACGAAUUAGUUGCAGCAAAUACCGAUUGGAUGCACAAAUAUCAAGGUCAUAGCCAGAUACUCCUUCGACCCCAGACUACUCAACAGGUUUCGGAGAUCAUUACUUAUUGCAAUUCCAGGAAUUUGGCAGUAGUCCCACAAGGAGGUAAUACUGGAUUGGUCGGAGGCAGUGUUCCAGUUUUUGAUGAGGUGAUAGUGAACCUUGGAGCGAUGAAUAAGAUUAUUGAAUUUGAUGAGGUUAGUGGAAUCUUGGUUUGUGAAGCGGGUUGCAUUCUGGAGAACCUUGAUAACUUUAUUGGAGGCAAAGGCUUCACAAUGCCCUUGGACUUGGGUGCUAAGGGGAGCUGUCAAAUUGGGGGCAACGUAUCCACCAACGCAGGUGGCUUACGACUGUUGCGAUAUGGAUCUCUUCAUGGAAAUGUUCUUGGGCUUGAGGUUGUUCUGGCAGACGGUGAGGUGGUGAACAUGUUAGGGACAUUGGUAAAAGACAACACUGGUUAUGAUAUGAAGCAACUCUUUAUAGGGAGUGAAGGAACUUUGGGAGUGGUGACUAAAGUGUCGUUGUUGGUGCCUGCGAAGCUUGGGUCGGUCAACACAGCAUUCUUUGCAUGUGAGGACUAUACGAGCUGUCAGAACGUGUUGAAGGAGGCAAAGCGGCAAUUGGGUGAAAUCCUAUCAGCUUUCGAAUUCAUAGAUCGUCCUGCCCUUGACAUGGCUCUGACCCAUUUGCCUGGAACAAGAGAUCCUUUGCCACAAUCUGGGAAAAACUUUUAUCUUUUGAUAGAGACAACAGGCAGUAAUGAAACCCAUGACAAGGAGAAGCUGGAUGCAUUUCUAGAGAGCACCAUGGAGAAGGGUUUCGUUGCGGAUGGCGUUGUUGCGCAAGACAGCACUCAGGCAGCCUCUUUCUGGCAAAUAAGAGAGGGAAUAUCAGAAGCACUUGGAAAGGCUGGUGCUGUGUAUAAAUACGACUUCUCACUAUCUCCAGAACACUUUUACAAGAUUGUAGAAGAUCUUCGAGACCGACUUGUAACAAAUUUUCUCGCUCACCAGGAUCUGAUGCGGUGGUGGUCGGGUAUGGCCACUUGGGAGAUGGCAAUGUGCACUUAAAUGUUUCAGCUCGCGAAUACAAAGACGAGCUACUGGAGAAAGUUGAACCAUAUGUAUUUGAAUGGGUCGCCAAACACAAGGGUAGCGUGAGUGCGGAACAUGGACUGGGUUUGAUGAAGCCUCAUGCGCUUCACUACAGCAAGUCGGCUGAAGCUAUAGCGCUUAUGGAGAGGUUCAAGGCUCUCCUAGAUCCUAAAGGCAUCUUGAAUCCGUAUAAAGUGCUUCCCGGCACUUCAAAAACAGUCUCUACUCCUGCAUCAGCUCUUAAUGCUGAAUCGGCGGUCGUCGUCUGAGGUGGAAUUUGGAGUUUACAAGCAUCUCUUGUUUCCAAUCGUUGAUGUUCGCUGAACUCGAGGGCUUUAAGUGUGUUUAUCGCUAUAUCGUUUAGACAUUCACUAGGAUGCGACUCAAACUUGACCGCAGGGAACAAUGGCUGAAUGUCUUCGGGGAUUUCAUGUAAGCUCAGUUCUGAUUCCGUGCUCAAAUGCAUCAAUAUUUGUGGGAUCGACCUUCAUUAGAUAAAAUCUUGACAUGUCUGCAACAGACUCCUCUUUACGUAUCCUCUGUAGCGUUUCACUGGAUAUUGCAUCUGUAGGUGUACAUGAACAUAUGCCUUCAGACGGAGGCUGAAUAUAUCAUCUAUGAUACAACAGCUUGUUUACGUUAUAUGUUAGUAGUCUGUUUGAUAUACACUGAUUAAUAAGAUGUAAUUUAGCUUCUCAAAAACAUGCUGGGGCUGCUUGACGCAUUUGAUUGACCAUCUCCAACUCCAAAUAAAUUGGCCAGGUUUUACA
This is an RNA transcript of Physcomitrium patens, 2551 nucleotides long. It is a transcript of the gene named D-2-hydroxyglutarate dehydrogenase, mitochondrial, with no coding region annotated. Lineage: Eukaryota; Viridiplantae; Streptophyta; Bryopsida; Funariales; Funariaceae. The record is from RefSeq and is a predicted model, not a curated record.